ACCCUAUUCCUUUGGAUGAUCAUCAUGCUGAAGGCUUCUCGGAUAGCUCGAGCUCCGAGCCAGAAGUCAACAACCAACCUCCUGAAGCCCCGAACCCUAACCCCCGACCGGCAUUUCAGGGCCCCACUCCUAUGUGGGCAAUGUCCUUGCAUCGAUGGAGCGAGGAGCAGGGUCAGCCCUUGCCUUACAAUGGAGACCGAAGUUUCUACAACAUAAGCGAAGGAGGAUCAGCAGAUCGGGUUCUGCCCAUCAUGAUCCGAAGAAUUGCCAGGAAUGUUGAGCAAAGUCAAGCUGCCAUUGGUCGAGUUGUAGAAGUGGAUGCCAACUCAAACCUCAACACUGUUCGCAUCCGCCAACUCGAAGAAGCCAUGGACAGGACAAGGAGGACCAACGAGGCUCUGCAGCAUCAGCUGGCUGCAUCCCGAGCUGAAGUUAGGGAACUCCGAGCACGCCAAAGGACUCAUGAUCGACACCUUCAAGAAGUUAUGCGUCAACUGGAGGAUCUGAGGAUUCGCCCGACAAGCAACCGUCGCCAGUAGAAGACAUCUAGUUACCUCACUCUUUUGUUUAAAGGACUAGCCUUUUAUCUCUAUGUUCCGUAGGUCUCUUGUCUGUAAACAUUCCUAGCUUAAAAGUACUCUAGUUAAACCUCUAAACUGCCAACAUUUUCUCUAUGGUAUGAUGUAAGACCUACUGUUAGGUCAAUUUUCAUGAACUUGUGUUGCAUCAUUAAUACCAAUGUAGUUGCAGUUGAUUUCUUUAUUGCUAGGACUCUCAUUCUGAUCUUGGAUUAUGUUGAUUUAAUCCAUGAAACACUCUAUUCAUAUUCGCAAUAGACUCUUACUAUUGCCAUCAUUUCUAUGGUUUUCUAGUGAAAGAUGCCUCCUCGAAAGCGUCCAAGCCGAGGAAUACCAGCAACUCAAACCCCUCCUCUACCACCUCCUCCUCCGCAGUUCGAUCCGGUGUUGUUCCAAACGGCUAUGACUGUGGCUGUAACAGCAGCCAUGGCCCAAAUGAACUCGGGUGAUGCGAGCGGUGGGAAUUCUAGAUUUGGUGAAGUCCACCAACGAGUGCAGGGAUGCACUUAUAAGGACUUCAUGAAUUGUAAACCUACUUUAUUUGAUGGUACCGGAGGAAUUCUGGCAUUGUCCCAAUGGUUCAAAAGAACCGAAGCUGUAUUCGAGAUGUGCUCUUGUCCCGAAGAGAGCAAAAUCAAGUUCGCUACUGCUACCUUCACUAACAGGGCUUUGUCAUGGUGGAACGGCCAUGUCAACGCACUCUCCUUGGUCACAGCCAAUGCCAUGGGCUGGGACACUCUAAAAGAUCUUAUGAGAGGAGAGUACUGCCCUAGGGGCGAAGUUCAGAAGCUUGAGGAAGAACUCUGGAACCUCAAGAUGAAAGGGACUGACAUAACGGCUUACACUGCCAGGUUUUGCGACUUGGCGGCUAUGUGUCCCGAUAUGAUUCCGUCCGAAAGCAAGAAGAUUGAACGGUACAUCUGGGGUUUAGUGCCCCCGUAUCGAGGAAACGUUCUGGCCUCACGCCCCACCACUUUUGACAGUGCCAAGGAAUUGGCCCAGAGUCUGAUUAACCAUGAAGUCUCCUCCACUCCAUCAACAGCAACCACAACAACCACUGCACCACUCGAUUCAUCUGACAGAAAAAGGAAACGAUGGGAUAAGAAGAAAGGCAAGAAAACUCAAACCACCUACAAAGACCAACAGAUCGUGGCGGUCCAUGCUGCUACCACUCCAACUGCUCCAGCCCCGCCAAAAGCUUACAGUGGAAACUUGCCCAAGUGUCCCAAAUGCCUAUUCCACCACAACAGCCCAUGCCGUGAACUGCAGUGUUCCAACUGCGGCCAAAAGGGCCAUACUGUCCGAUUUUGCAAGGCCCCUCCCAAACCUAUCACACAGGUUCCUGGUACGGGAGUGACCCCGACUUGUUAUGGCUGCGGUGAAGCGGGCCAUUUUAAGAAGAACUGUCCGAAGGCUGCAAAUGCUGGGGGAACUGGAAGGUUACUUGCUAUCGGUCACAAUGAAGCGGUAGCCGAUCCCACGGUGGUCACGGGUACGUUUCUUCUCAACAACUCUUAUGCCUGUGUCUUAUUCGAUAGUGGUGCAGAAAGAAGCUUCAUAAAUCAAAACUUUAAACACUUACUCAAACAAACCCCUCAACCACUAAAAGAAACAUUCGUUGUAGAAAUGGCUAAUGGGAAGACAGAAAGCUCUAAUGAAAUCUAUAUAGGUUGUACUCUCACGUUAGAUGAUCACCCCUUUUUAAUCGAUCUUAUACCAGUCUCAAUCAAAAAUUUCGAUGUCAUUGUUGGUAUGGAUUGGCUAAGCCUUCACUACGCCGACAUCCUAUGCUCCGAGAAAGCCAUUCGCCUGAACUUUCCGAAUCGAGAGACCCUAUUGAUAUACGGAGAUAAGCCAAGUACAAACCUUCGUAUCAUCUCUAGUAUUCAGGCUCAGAAAUACUUGCGCAAGGAAUAUCGCGCCUUUCUUGCUCACGUCGUCGACACUAACCAGAAAUCGAAAGAUCCAAAAGACAUUCCUGUAGUAUGCGAUUUUCCUGAUGUCUUUCCGGAGGAUCUUCCAGGCCUACCUCCCAAACGACAGGUUGAAUUCAGAAUCGACCUAAUCCCAGGAGCUACCCCCGUAGCUAAGUCGCCCUACCGUCUAGCGCCCGCCGAAAUGCAAGAACUAUCCGGUCAACUCAACGAACUGCUCAGCAAGGGCUUUAUAAGACCGAGCUUCUCACCUUGGGGAGCUCCGGUCUUGUUCGUGAAGAAAAAGGAUGGGUCGUUUCGGAUGUGCAUCGAUUAUAGGGAACUCAAUAAACUCACGAUCAAAAAUCGCUAUCCUCUCCCUCGUAUCGACGACCUAUUCGACCAACUCCAAGGAGCCAGUUACUUCUCCAAGAUUGAUCUUAGAUCGGGGUAUCACCAAUUACGGGUGCUUGAGGAAGAUGUUCCAAAGACAGCCUUCCGAACCCGCUACGGGCAUUUUGAGUUCGUAGUGAUGCCCUUUGGACUGACUAACGCCCCCGCAGUAUUCAUGGACUUGAUGAAUAGGGUAUGUCGUCCAUAUCUAGAUCAGUUCGUCAUCGUCUUUAUUGACGACAUACUCGUCUACUCUCGGAGCGAGGAAGAGCACAGAAAUCAUUUACGAUUAGUCCUGGAAACCCUGCGAUCCGAGAAGUUGUAUGCGAAGUUCUCUAAGUGCGAGUUUUGGAUCCGAAGAGUUGAAUUCUUAGGGCACGUGGUCAGUGAAGACGGAAUCCACGUGGACCCCUCCAAAAUCAAAGCUAUUGAGAACUGGUCAGCACCAAAGACGCCUACGGAAAUUCGUCAAUUUCUAGGCCUCGCUGGCUACUACCGUCGAUUCAUCCAAAAUUUCUCUCGGAUUGCGAAACCUCUCACCAUGCUAACACAGAAGGGUGUAUCAUUCGACUGGGAAGAGAAACAGGAGAAGGCAUUUCAGACCCUGAAGCGAGCCCUAUGCACCGCACCAGUAUUAUCCCUUCCCGAAGGGACAGAAGAUUUCGUCGUAUACUGUGAUGCAUCCAAUCAGGGGCUCGGUUGUGUCUUGAUGCAACGAGGCAAGGUUAUCGCCUAUGCCUCGAGACAGCUAAAGAACCAUGAAGUGAACUACACUACUCACGACCUCGAGUUAGGAGCGGUCGUCUUCGCACUAAAAAUCUGGAGACACUACUUGUAUGGGACGAAGAGCGUGGUGUACACUGAUCAUAAAAGCCUCCAACAUAUACUGAACCAAAAAGAACUCAACAUGAGACAGCGUCGAUGGGUCGAGUUACUUAACGAUUACGACUGUGAAAUUAGAUAUCAUCCGGGGAAAGCCAACGUAGUAGCUGACGCCCUGAGCAGAAAGGAAUAUUCCGGACGAAGGACCAAGUCGUUGACAAUGACUAUACAUUCACAUCUAUCCACGCAGAUCAAAGAGGCUCAGCUGGAAGCCUUAAAGCCUGGAAACGUGACGGGAGAAUCCCUGCGCGGAAUGGAUAAAAAUCUGGAGGUUAAGGGUGACGGAGCCUAUUACUUCAUGGACCGAAUCUGGACUCCACGCCAUGGAGGUUUCAGAGAUUUGGUUAUGAGGGAAGCACACAACACUCGUUACUCCGUCCACCCGGGUUCAGAUAAGAUGUAUCUGGAUCUCAAAAAGCUAUACUGGUGGCCGAACAUGAAAGCGGAGAUCGCUACCUUUGUAAGUAAGUGCCUUACUUGCGCGAAGGUCAAAGUCGAAUGUCAAAAGCCAUCAGGACUCCUCCAACAACCGGAAGUACCAGAAUGGAAGUGGGAGCGAAUCACAAUGGACUUUAUCACCAAGCUGCCCAAGACAGCAGGUGGAUUAGAUACCAUUUGGGUCAUCGUUGACAGGUUGACCAAGUCUGCACACUUCCUACCCAUCAAGGAGACGGACAAGAUGGAGAAGCUCACUAGAACAUACAUAAAAGAAAUAGUGCGACUGCAUGGCGUCCCUAUAUCUAUUAUAUCAGACAGAGAUAGUAGAUUCACCUCUAGAUUUUGGCAAUCAUUGCAAAAGGCACUAGGGACGAGGCUGGACAUGAGUACAGCCUACCAUCCGCAGACUGACGGACAAAGUGAGAGGACGAUCCAAACCUUAGAAGACAUGCUGCGAGCUUGUGUGAUCGACUUCGGGAAAUCGUGGGAUACACACUUGCCUCUUGUGGAGUUUUCCUACAACAAUAGUUAUCAUACGAGCAUCAAGGCAGCUCCAUUCGAAGCCCUCUACGGCCGGAAGUCCAGAUCCCCUUUGUGCUGGGCUGAGGUGGGUGACACUCAGUUAGCUAAAGGACGAGUUCCUGACAGCGCCCUCACUGGUCUGGAGAUCAUUUGAGAGACGACCGAGAAGAUUGUACAGAUACGUGAAUGACUAAAAGCCGCUAGGGAUCGACAGAAAAGCUACGCCGACAAACAAAGAAAACCCUUGGAAUUCCAGGUGGGAGACCGAGUCCUUUCGAAGGUCUCGCCCUGGAAGGGCACGAUACGCUUUGGAAAGCGUGGAAAGUUAAACCCAAGGUACAUAGGGCCUUUCGAGAUUCUCGCCAGAAUCGGCCCCGUAGCUUAUAAACUCAACUUACCCCACGAACUAAACAACAUACAUCCUACCUUCCACGUCUUAAACUUGAAGAAAUGUCUGUCUGACGAGACUCUCGUGAUUCCCCUUGACGAAAUCAAAGUCAAUGAGAGCCUCAACUUCGUGGAAGAGCCUGCGGAAAUUAUGGAUCGAGAAGUAAAACGAACGAAGCAAAGCCGCAUCCCAAUCGUGAAGGUUCGGUGGAAUGCCAAGCGGGGACCGGAAUUCACUUGGGAGCGCGAGGAUCGAAUGAAACUCAAAUAUCCUGAUCUCUUUGCUUAGUAGUAUUGUAAUAACUUAUCUGUUUAAAUUCUAAAUUUGGGGAGGAAAUUCCCCUAACGGGGUGAUGAUGUGACAACCCAAACUUUCUGCCGUUACAAAUUCCGUCCGCACUAACGGAAUUCGUCAUUAUAUACUAUUUUUUGUAAUGUUUGGAGUCGUCAAUUAACAAACAUCUAGAUAAGUUAUAUGUCAUGAUAUUAUUAUAAGUAAUUAUAACUCGUAAAUGUUAACCCUGUUUAACUAAAUAGAGUUGUAUUACUUUUCAACCACUUCACCCAGGUAAAAAGUUUUAACCCGUUAAACUUUAGCAUCGGGUAGCCGUGUAUCGGGUGCAAUACCCGAGGCAUAUGAAAUGAGUGUAAACAACAUUUGAACACUCUUUUACCACACAUUCACUCUCUCUCACUACUUUCUCUCUCUAGACCCGAACCCGACUCCAAAACCGCGAAUUCCGGCUUCCAAACGUAAGGAUUUAUUCCCUAUCUUAUUCUAAACAUACUUCAUUGUAAUUAGAGGCCAAAAAUCAUAGAAAAUAAAGAUCAAAAGGGAUUUUACGGCCUAAGAAGCCCCUUAGGCCGUAAACACCUAAAACUUUGCCAAAAGCCCCAUUUUUCCUUCCUUUAAGCUUGGAUACUAAUUAAGGGAUUUACCUAGGGGAGUUUGGACAUUAAAACAUAAGAAAUUGAGGCCUAAAAAGGAGUUUACGGCCCAAGCUUAUGCUUAGGCCGUAAACACCCAAAAACCUUGGAUUUAAGUCCCAAAAACUCAUCUAGGGCAUGUAGUAAUUUAGUCUUGACACUAGGAAAUGUUUAAGUGCAUUAAACAACACCAUUUGAGGACAAAAAGAGGAGUUUACGGCCAAGUCUAAGCUUGAGCCGUAAACACCCAAAUUUUAUGUCAAACAAGUCCCAAAAACCUAUCUAGGGCAUGUAAGGAAAUUAGUUAAGACCCUAGGAAGUGUGUUGUACCAUUAAACAUCUCAUUUUGAAGCCAAAAGAAGAGUUUACGGCCAAGGCUAUACUUGGGCCGUAAACUCCCCAAUUUUUAUGCCAAAAUGUCCCAAAACUCCAUCUAAGGCCUUCUAGAAUUUAUCUAAGGUGAAGGGAAGUGUGUUGUACCAUUUAAACAUCCAUUUUGAGGGAUUAAAUGGAGUUUACGGCCCAAGCACAAGUCUUGGCCGUAAACUCCCCAAAAUGUCACAAAAUGAGGGUUUAAACCCUCCAUAUUAGUUCAAGACACUUGCUAGUAAAUUAGGGAAGUGAAAUAAGGCCUUAAACUUGCAUUUUGGAGGACCACAUGAGUUUACGGCCAAGCCUAGGGGGCUUACGGCCGUAAACUCCCAAGGAGUGGCCUUUGGGCCGUAAACUCCAAGGGAGUGAGCUCAUGGACCCUCCCGUAAAUCUUUCUUGGCCUUGUACCACUCCCGGGAACCCCUUCUAGGCCUUAAAACCCCGAAACGAUGCUAGAAUGCCCAAAUACUUUAACGAAAAGCAUAAAAUGUCUAAUUUAUUGUAAAAUACAUAUUUCAUAUGAAUCUAGGGUCCUAAAAAGGUGCUCAAGUCGUUAUUUGGUACCAAACGCUCAACCGACACUUUUACCCGAUUUACCCGAUUCACCCGAUUUACGCGAUUUCAGGUGAGUUCAUACCCCUUUAAUGAACCUUUCAAAUGUUUUAUAUGUUUUGGGGGGGGAUACAAGUCAAUUAUACAUGUUUAUGGAAAUUCAUACAAGUCAUUUAUUCAUGUUACGGAAAUUAAUCACAUGUGAUUCACUAUCCGUAGUUCAAAUCACAUGUGAUUUACCACUAUGCUUUAUAAAAAGGAUUUUCGUUUUCAAAACCAUUUCGGAUAAAAUAUCAAUUUUCUAAAUAUUCCCUUUUGACAAGAUUUUUAUUAAGUAAAUUCCUUAUAAAAUGUAACCACACCAAUAUAUUAUAUAAAUAAGGCUUGAAGGACUUAAGACCGAUAGCUCGCCUUAAUUCCUGUUCUUGUUUGAUUGUGGGCUUAGGGUAGUUGGUAUCCGUCCGACUGUCGUUGAUUUCUUACUUAUUUAUCAUAUAUAUUUGUGUUGGAUAUGAGUAUUUUCAUUUCAUUAAAUGUUUAAACCACAAGAUUGACAAGAAUCAUAUGCUCUAAGUUAACUAUAAUAGGUAUAGUUAAGGCCACUAUUACUCGCUAUAGCCACUACUCUACACACUAUAAUACACUCUAUAAUGAUACUAUAUACUAAUACGAGAACAUACUAAGAGUAUACAAAAGACUACUACGCUAUAAUACAAGAGAAAACACUAAUCAAGAGAUAACACACUAACCCACUACGAGAUAUUCUAUUCGCUACGUAGUACGCCCAUAGUCUUCUGGCAGGAAGACGACGCUAUAUGUAUAGAUCUAUAUGGAGCAGACGCUAUUACAUCCUGACUGAUAACUUCAGUCCGAGCCGUACAGGCCCAGGGAUGCCGCUACUUCACUACACUGUGUAUGACCGGGAAGGUCAUGGGGUCCUCUAUUACUCACACUAUUGGUAACAUACAGGAAAUACACUAUAACCACACUAAAAUACUAGACAACAGUUAAAGUUAAUAUCCCGAAGAAAUCAAGUAUCUAAUACUAAAGAAAGUCUGCACCACUAUUAUGGAUUUCAGGCAUAACCUACCGUAUUGCAUUACAUAUGGGGAACCCACUAUUAUACUGAUACAAUGAAUGCUUUCUUCAAUGAUGAAAAUUACAUGUUUCUUAAAGGUUUUCACUUACAAAGUAUUUCUGGAAAAUAUAGGAUUUUCUAGGUUUUUCUACUACUUAUGAAUGUAAAUUACAGCUUUCCAUACUAUCGGUUCUAAUGCUUUUUAUACAAAAACUCACACUAAACUCUUAUGAACUCACCAGCUUUAUGCUGAUAUUCGUUUUCAAAAUAACUUGUAUCCUCAGGUCAAAGAUAGACAGGUACAGGUGCAGCAUUUUGGAGAAGGUGGAGCAUACAAGAUCCAUCUCUUAUUUUUGUAAUACUUUUGGUGAUUGUUAAACAUUACAAAACACACUUGUAAUUAAACUCACUAUGUAAUGCAAUGGUUGUAUGUUUCUUGUUUUUACUAUUAUGCAAUUGUGAUGAUACUGUACAUGACGUCCUCCACCCCGAAACGUAUUCCACCGUUAUCGGUUUUGGGGUGUGACAAAUUGGUAUCAGAGCAUUGUUUAUAGUGAAUCAAGUAUAUCAACCUAUAAAAGAUAUACAAACUAUAAACACUUCGGGACUAAAACACUCUGACCAAGAAUAUAUACUGUUAAGUAUCUAAAAGAUCUAACUAAGUAUAUAUAUACACACAUCACUAUAAAACACAGAAAUCAGUAUCACUCUAGAACAGAACAAAAGUAUUAAGAUUGUUGGGCAGCACAAUUGGGCUUAGAGACAUAUAGUCACAUUCAGGGUGAUGUAGCCUGAUCAACUACGUUUUCCUGAGAGUGACUAGCAUGUGCCUAAGUUUGGUUGUGAUGUUGCAACAAGUCUAAAACUUACCAACAAUACCACAAUAACGCUACCAUAAGAAUACUAUAGGAGUAUUCUGUAUCUCUAGAUUAUACGUAUGUGUUAACAAAAAGGGUCGUUACUAGUAGGACAAUAGUUGCUAAGUGGAUACACCACGAUUACAUGUGAUUAGGGCGCUAUAGACUCAGAAUCUGCAGCCUUUGCUUCAUUCCCUGUUCUUGUUUGAUUGGGGGUCUGAAGUUAGGGUGGUUUAUUCGAAGGACUAUCUUGCUUCGGUUACAUGUAAUCGGUAUGCACUAUGCAAGUAUUGGGUCAACUAGUAAUGAUUCAUCCUAUAAGUAUCUUAGAAUAGUACGUCUAUUAAUCUUCUUUUCCCCUUUCUCGCGUAGAUAGCAUGGCUGGCUUCCACCUACCCGGUGAUCCGUACUUUCCGAACCAGGGCAAUGGAGGAUGGCUCGAAGAGGAGUCAGACGAUGAUCACCCGAUCCCUUUGGAUGAUCAUCAUGCUGAAGGCUUCUCGGAUAGCUCGAGUUCCGAACUAGAAGUUAACAACCAACCUCCUGAAGCCCCGAACCCUAACCCUCGUCCGGCAUUUCAGGGCCCCACCCCUAUGUGGGCAAUAUCCUUGCACCGAUGGAGCGAGGAGCAGGGUCAGCCCUUGCCUUACAAUGGAGACCGAAGCUUCUACAACAUAGGCGAAGGAGGAUCAGCUGAUCGGGUUCUACCCAUCAUGAUCCGAAGGAUUGCCAGGAAUGUUGAGCAAAGUCAAGCUGCUAUUGGUCGAGUUGUAGAAGUGGAUGCCAACUCAAAUCUCAACACUGUUCGCAUCCGUCAGCUCGAAGAAGCCGUGGACAGGACAAGGAGGACCAACGAGGCUCUGCAGCAUCAGCUGGCUGCAUCCCGAGCUGAAGUUAGGGAACUCCGAGCACGCCAAAGGACUCAUGA
This 9827-nucleotide long non-coding RNA is filed under the name Lactuca sativa (garden lettuce). Its description in RNAcentral is "long non-coding RNA (LSAT_LNC001145)". The record is from RNAcentral. Lineage: Eukaryota; Viridiplantae; Streptophyta; Magnoliopsida; Asterales; Asteraceae.